Molecule: ribosomal RNA, 468 nt
Filed under: uncultured bacterium
Lineage: Bacteria
Description: partial 16S ribosomal RNA
Rfam family: Bacterial small subunit ribosomal RNA
Source: RNAcentral
GACGAACGCUGGCGGCGUGCUUAACACAUGCAAGUCGAACGGAAAGGCCCUGCUUUUGUGGGGUGCUCGAGUGGCGAACGGGUGAGUAACACGUGAGUAACCUGCCCUUGACUUUGGGAUAACUUCAGGAAACUGGGGCUAAUACCGGAUAGGAGCUCCUGCUGCAUGGUGGGGGUUGGAAAGUUUCGGCGGUUGGGGAUGGACUCGCGGCUUAUCAGCUUGUUGGUGGGGUAGUGGCUUACCAAGGCUUUGACGGGUAGCCGGCCUGAGAGGGUGACCGGCCACAUUGGGACUGAGAUACGGCCCAGACUCCUACGGGAGGCAACAGUGGGGAAUAUUGCACAAUGGGCGGAAGCCUGAUGCAGCAACGCCGCGUGCGGGAUGACGGCCUUCGGGUUGUAAACCGCUUUCGCCUGUGACGAAGCGUGAGUGACGGUAAUGGGUAAAGAAGCACCGGCUAACUACGUG